RNAcentral lists this long non-coding RNA (629 nucleotides) under Homo sapiens (human). Its description in RNAcentral is "HSALNT0344030". The record is from RNAcentral. Lineage: Eukaryota; Metazoa; Chordata; Mammalia; Primates; Hominidae.
GGGGCAGGUCUGAGAGUGGCUGUGGGAGCUGAGGUGUUCCUUUGUUUCCUGGUGAGUCGUGUGUGUCCAGGGCACCCCGUGGAAGUGUAGGUAGUGGCUGGCUGGGCGGUGGGGCGGAUGGUCAGGAGGAAGAUGAGGCUGCAGGAGGCAGAGUUGGAGCCAUCGGCAUAAAUAACCGGUGAUCCCUGAGGGGUGCAGGUUGCUCAGGGGGUUCAGAGUGAGAAAAACCCAGAAGAGAACCCCAAGGAGUGUGAGUUCACGGGGUGGGUGGGUGAAGGUGGCCUGUGGAGGAUGCCGGGAGGUUGCAGGUAGCCGGAAGACAACCAGGUGAGUGUCACUCAGGAGGAUGAGAGGUUCAACAGGAGAGAGUGGUUGAGGUAACACAGACCCCCAUUGUCCUCUACCCCCAAGAAGUCAAGGUCAGCUGGCAUCUUUGGUGAUGGGCAGUAAAGUCAGACUGCAGUGGGCUGGGAGCGAGUGGGCAGGUGGGGGGUGAGAAACACAGUGACCUCAGGAUGGGGACCCCGUGGACCCAGUGAAGCUGGACCUGGAAAGACCAAAGGGAGCUAAACAAGGAGGGACCUACUGGGCCCAUUUUCCCAUGUCGCUGUGGGUCAGCCCUGGGCCUG